AUUAAUUUUGACGAAAAGCAUUCACUAGUUUGUAUAAGUUUUAUUGUUAGAAAUAAAACAGAUAUUUUAAAUCAAUUUUCUACCUGCAGACACCUGUAUACGCGUGACGCACUCUCGUGGCAAUCACGCACCCUCACAGACAUCACCCUGACACGCUCACUGCGCUAAACGAUUUACUGUACCAGUUGCUGUGCAAUCAUACAAUAUAUACAGGCUAUACCAUAUUCUCUACAAAAUUAGAUAUCUUUAAUAUUUAAAGUAAUCUUCAAAGGUCUGUGCCAGCGAUCAGAAAAAACAGCAAUCUUGAAAGACAGUACAACUGCCUGAAAAAUAUAUAUAUACGUUAUUUACCGGCUGCGAGGUCUGGAUGAGAAAACGUGUUUAUUUUUUAUCAGAUGUAAAAAUUAAAUUCAUUAAAAUUCCAGUGUUGCUUGCGAACUAAUUUGAGAUCAGUGCAGUUGUGUAUUUUCAAAGCGAGGCUGACAAAUAUUGAAAAUUUGAAAGAUAUAUUAAUAAAACGAAUACGAAAACUCGAGAAAGACACAAAAAGACGUAUAGUUUCAGUAAAAAUGUACAUGCUUUUUUCAUGAAUAUGGUAG
Molecule: non-coding RNA, 599 nt
Organism: Paramuricea clavata
Lineage: Eukaryota; Metazoa; Cnidaria; Anthozoa; Malacalcyonacea; Plexauridae
Source: the annotation of a GenBank genome assembly